This 306-nucleotide long non-coding RNA is filed under the name Ananas comosus (pineapple). RNAcentral's name for it is "long non-coding RNA (ACOM_LNC002190)". The record is from RNAcentral. Lineage: Eukaryota; Viridiplantae; Streptophyta; Magnoliopsida; Poales; Bromeliaceae.
UAAUAGCACUAAGCAAGUUUUGUAUCAUUUUUUUUUAAAAGAUAUAUGUAGUAUGCUAUUCGAUUCCUUUAUUUAAUUUAAAAAUAAAUUUAGUUAGAAAUAUGAAUCAAUUAGGAUUCGAACUUGGGACCUCAGAUACCAACUAUCAAGCCCUUUGCCACUUGCGCUAGAAAUAAUUAGUAUUCCUUUGAUCAUUUUCAUCCACUAGAUAAUACUAUUCAACUAACUAUCCGCCCAACGCUAAUGAAUCACUAUCAUUCUAGCUGUACAUCUACAAGCACUGAAAAUCUAAUAAUUUAUAAACAU